GGUUAAGCGACUAAGCGUACACGGUGGAUGCCCUGGCAGUCAGAGGCGAUGAAGGACGUGCUAAUCUGCGAUAAGCGUCGGUAAGGUGAUAUGAACCGUUAUAACCGGCGAUUUCCGAAUGGGGAAACCCAGUGUGAUUCGUCACACUAUCAUUAACUGAAUCCAUAGGUUAAUGAGGCGAACCGGGGGAACUGAAACAUCUAAGUACCCCGAGGAAAAGAAAUCAACCGAGAUUCCCCCAGUAGCGGCGAGCGAACGGGGAGCAGCCCAGAGCCUGAAUCAGUGUGUGUGUUAGUGGAAGCGUCUGGAAAGGCGCGCGAUACAGGGUGACAGCCCCGUACACAAAAAUGCACAUGCUGUGAGCUCGAUGAGUAGGGCGGGACACGUGGUAUCCUGUCUGAAUAUGGGGGGACCAUCCUCCAAGGCUAAAUACUCCUGACUGACCGAUAGUGAACCAGUACCGUGAGGGAAAGGCGAAAAGAACCCCGGCGAGGGGAGUGAAAAAGAACCUGAAACCGUGUACGUACAAGCAGUGGGAGCACGCUUAGGCGUGUGACUGCGUACCUUUUGUAUAAUGGGUCAGCGACUUAUAUUCUGUAGCAAGGUUAACCGAAUAGGGGAGCCGAAGGGAAACCGAGUCUUAACUGGGCGUUAAGUUGCAGGGUAUAGACCCGAAACCCGGUGAUCUAGCCAUGGGCAGGUUGAAGGUUGGGUAACACUAACUGGAGGACCGAACCGACUAAUGUUGAAAAAUUAGCGGAUGACUUGUGGCUGGGGGUGAAAGGCCAAUCAAACCGGGAGAUAGCUGGUUCUCCCCGAAAGCUAUUUAGGUAGCGCCUCGUGAAUUCAUCUCCGGGGGUAGAGCACUGUUUCGGCAAGGGGGUCAUCCCGACUUACCAACCCGAUGCAAACUGCGAAUACCGGAGAAUGUUAUCACGGGAGACACACGGCGGGUGCUAACGUCCGUCGUGAAGAGGGAAACAACCCAGACCGCCAGCUAAGGUCCCAAAGUCAUGGUUAAGUGGGAAACGAUGUGGGAAGGCCCAGACAGCCAGGAUGUUGGCUUAGAAGCAGCCAUCAUUUAAAGAAAGCGUAAUAGCUCACUGGUCGAGUCGGCCUGCGCGGAAGAUGUAACGGGGCUAAACCAUGCACCGAAGCUGCGGCAGCGACGCUUAUGCGUUGUUGGGUAGGGGAGCGUUCUGUAAGCCUGUGAAGGUGUGCUGUGAGGCAUGCUGGAGGUAUCAGAAGUGCGAAUGCUGACAUAAGUAACGAUAAAGCGGGUGAAAAGCCCGCUCGCCGGAAGACCAAGGGUUCCUGUCCAACGUUAAUCGGGGCAGGGUGAGUCGACCCCUAAGGCGAGGCCGAAAGGCGUAGUCGAUGGGAAACAGGUUAAUAUUCCUGUACUUGGUGUUACUGCGAAGGGGGGACGGAGAAGGCUAUGUUGGCCGGGCGACGGUUGUCCCGGUUUAAGCGUGUAGGCUGGUUUUCCAGGCAAAUCCGGAAAAUCAAGGCUGAGGCGUGAUGACGAGGCACUACGGUGCUGAAGCAACAAAUGCCCUGCUUCCAGGAAAAGCCUCUAAGCAUCAGGUAACAUCAAAUCGUACCCCAAACCGACACAGGUGGUCAGGUAGAGAAUACCAAGGCGCUUGAGAGAACUCGGGUGAAGGAACUAGGCAAAAUGGUGCCGUAACUUCGGGAGAAGGCACGCUGAUAUGUAGGUGAAGUCCCUCGCGGAUGGAGCUGAAAUCAGUCGAAGAUACCAGCUGGCUGCAACUGUUUAUUAAAAACACAGCACUGUGCAAACACGAAAGUGGACGUAUACGGUGUGACGCCUGCCCGGUGCCGGAAGGUUAAUUGAUGGGGUCAGCGCAAGCGAAGCUCUUGAUCGAAGCCCCGGUAAACGGCGGCCGUAACUAUAACGGUCCUAAGGUAGCGAAAUUCCUUGUCGGGUAAGUUCCGACCUGCACGAAUGGCGUAAUGAUGGCCAGGCUGUCUCCACCCGAGACUCAGUGAAAUUGAACUCGCUGUGAAGAUGCAGUGUACCCGCGGCAAGACGGAAAGACCCCGUGAACCUUUACUAUAGCUUGACACUGAACAUUGAGCCUUGAUGUGUAGGAUAGGUGGGAGGCUUGGAAGUGUGGACGCCAGUCUGCAUGGAGCCGACCUUGAAAUACCACCCUUUAAUGUUUGAUGUUCUAACGUUGACCCGUAAUCCGGGUUGCGGACAGUGUCUGGUGGGUAGUUUGACUGGGGCGGUCUCCUCCUAAAGAGUAACGGAGGAGCACGAAGGUUGGCUAAUCCUGGUCGGACAUCAGGAGGUUAGUGCAAUGGCAUAAGCCAGCUUGACUGCGAGCGUGACGGCGCGAGCAGGUGCGAAAGCAGGUCAUAGUGAUCCGGUGGUUCUGAAUGGAAGGGCCAUCGCUCAACGGAUAAAAGGUACUCCGGGGAUAACAGGCUGAUACCGCCCAAGAGUUCAUAUCGACGGCGGUGUUUGGCACCUCGAUGUCGGCUCAUCACAUCCUGGGGCUGAAGUAGGUCCCAAGGGUAUGGCUGUUCGCCAUUUAAAGUGGUACGCGAGCUGGGUUUAGAACGUCGUGAGACAGUUCGGUCCCUAUCUGCCGUGGGCGCUGGAGAACUGAGGGGGGCUGCUCCUAGUACGAGAGGACCGGAGUGGACGCAUCACUGGUGUUCGGGUUGUCAUGCCAAUGGCACUGCCCGGUAGCUAAAUGCGGAAGAGAUAAGUGCUGAAAGCAUCUAAGCACGAAACUUGCCCCGAGAUGAGUUCUCCCUGACUCCUUGAGAGUCCUGAAGGAACGUUGAAGACGACGACGUUGAUAGGCCGGGUGUGUAAGCGCAGCGAUGCGUUGAGCUAACCGGUACUAAUGAACCGUGAGGCUUAACCUU
RNAcentral lists this ribosomal RNA (2904 nucleotides) under Escherichia coli. RNAcentral describes it as "23S ribosomal RNA". It matches the Rfam family "Bacterial large subunit ribosomal RNA". The record is from RNAcentral. Lineage: Bacteria; Pseudomonadati; Pseudomonadota; Gammaproteobacteria; Enterobacterales; Enterobacteriaceae.